Molecule: ribosomal RNA, 253 nt
Filed under: uncultured bacterium
Lineage: Bacteria
Description: partial 16S ribosomal RNA
Rfam family: Bacterial small subunit ribosomal RNA
Source: RNAcentral
UACGUAGGGUGCGAGCGUUGUCCGGAAUUACUGGGCGUAAAGAGCUCGUAGGUGGUUUGUCGCGUUGUUCGUGAAAACCGGGGGCUUAACCCUCGGCGUGCGGGCGAUACGGGCAGACUGGAGUACUGCAGGGGAGACUGGAAUUCCUGGUGUAGCGGUGGAAUGCGCAGAUAUCAGGAGGAACACCGGUGGCGAAGGCAGGUCUCUGGGCAGUAACUGACGCUGAGGAGCGAAAGCGUGGGGAGCGAACAGG